This is a non-coding RNA of Caenorhabditis elegans, 21 nucleotides long. The record is from Ensembl. NCBI's taxonomy places the organism in Eukaryota, Metazoa, Nematoda, Chromadorea, Rhabditida, Rhabditidae.
UGAUUUUGAAACCCAUCUAGA